This 253-nucleotide ribosomal RNA is filed under the name uncultured bacterium. Its description in RNAcentral is "partial 16S ribosomal RNA". It matches the Rfam family "Bacterial small subunit ribosomal RNA", at positions 524 to 776 of the family's 1533-position model. The record is from RNAcentral.
UACGUAGGGUGCGAGCGUUGUCCGGAAUUAUUGGGCGUAAAGGGCUCGUAGGCGGUUUGUCGCGUCGGGAGUGAAAACCCGGGGCUUAACCCUGGGCUGGCAGUGGAUACGGACAGACUAGAGGUAGGUAGGGGAGAAUGGAAUUCCCGGUGUAGCGGUGAAAUGCGUAGAGAUGUGGAGGAACACCAGUGGCGAAGGCGACUCUUUGGCCUGUAACUGACACUGAGGCGCGAAAGCGUGGGGAGCAAACAGG